GCCCCCGUAGCUCAGUUGGAUAGAGCAGCUGACUUCUAAUCAGCAGGUCCCAGGUUCGAGCCCUGGCGGGGGUG
Molecule: transfer RNA, 74 nt
Filed under: Planctomycetaceae bacterium
Lineage: Bacteria; Pseudomonadati; Planctomycetota; Planctomycetia; Planctomycetales; Planctomycetaceae
Description: tRNA-Arg
Rfam family: tRNA
About the family: Transfer RNA (tRNA) molecules are approximately 80 nucleotides in length. Their secondary structure includes four short double-helical elements and three loops (D, anti-codon, and T loops). Further hydrogen bonds mediate the characteristic L-shaped molecular structure. tRNAs have two regions of fundamental functional importance: the anti-codon, which is responsible for specific mRNA codon recognition, and the 3' end, to which the tRNAs corresponding amino acid is attached (by aminoacyl-tRNA synthetases). tRNAs cope with the degeneracy of the genetic code in two manners: having more than one tRNA (with a specific anti-codon) for a particular amino acid; and 'wobble' base-pairing, i.e. permitting non-standard base-pairing at the 3rd anti-codon position.
Source: RNAcentral